GAUGAACGCUGGCGGCGUGCUUAACACAUGCAAGUCGAACGAUGAAGCCCAGCUUGCUGGGUGGAUUAGUGGCGAACGGGUGAGUAACACGUGAGUAACCUGCCCUUAACUCUGGGAUAAGCCUGGGAAACUGGGUCUAAUACCGGAUAGGAGCGUCCACCGCAUGGUGGGUGUUGGAAAGAUUUAUCGGUUUUGGAUGGACUCGCGGCCUAUCAGCUUGUUGGUGAGGUAAUGGCUCACCAAGGCGACGACGGGUAGCCGGCCUGAGAGGGUGACCGGCCACACGGGGACUGAGACACGGCCCAGACUCCUACGGGAGGCAGCAGUGGGGAAUAUUGCACAAUGGGCGCAAGCCUGAUGCAGCGACGCCGCGUGAGGGAUGACGGCCUUCGGGUUGUAAACCUCUUUCAGUAGGGAAGAAGCGAAAGUGACGGUACCUGCAGAAGAAGCACCGGCUAACUACGUG
This 466-nucleotide ribosomal RNA is filed under the name uncultured bacterium. RNAcentral's name for it is "partial 16S ribosomal RNA". It matches the Rfam family "Bacterial small subunit ribosomal RNA", at positions 28 to 507 of the family's 1533-position model. The record is from RNAcentral.